AGGAAGGAAAGCUUGCUUUUCUGAAUCUAGUGGCGAACGGGUGAGUAACACGUAGGUAACCUGCCCAUGUGCCCGGGAUAACUUCUGGAAACGGAUGCUAAAACCGGAUAGGUAGCAGACAAGCAUUUGACUGCUAUUAAAGUGGCUAAGGCCAUGAACAUGGAUGGACCUGCGGUGCAUUAGCUAGUUGGUGAGGUAACGGCCCACCGUGGCUUCGACGGGUAGCCGGCCUGAGAGGUUGAACGGCCACAUUGGGACUGAGAUACGGCCCAGACUCC
RNAcentral lists this ribosomal RNA (278 nucleotides) under uncultured bacterium. RNAcentral describes it as "partial 16S ribosomal RNA". It matches the Rfam family "Bacterial small subunit ribosomal RNA", at positions 68 to 339 of the family's 1533-position model. The record is from RNAcentral.